CGCGUAGGCGGUUUGCUAAGUCAGAUGUGAAAGCCCAUGGCUUAACCAUGGACGUGCAUUUGAAACUGGCAGACUUGAGUAUUGGAGGGGGUGGUGGAAUUCCCGGUGUAGAGGUGAAAUUCGUAGAUAUCGGGAGGAAUACCGGUGGCGAAGGCGACCACCUGGCCAAAUACUGACGCUAAGGUGCGAAAGCGUGGGGAGCAAACA
This 207-nucleotide ribosomal RNA is filed under the name uncultured delta proteobacterium. Its description in RNAcentral is "partial 16S ribosomal RNA". It matches the Rfam family "Bacterial small subunit ribosomal RNA", at positions 568 to 774 of the family's 1533-position model. The record is from RNAcentral. Lineage: Bacteria; Deltaproteobacteria.